UACGAAGGGGGCUAGCGUUGCUCGGAAUCACUGGGCGUAAAGCGCACGUAGGCGGAUCUUUAAGUCAGGGGUGAAAUCCCAGAGCUCAACUCUGGAACUGCCUUUGAUACUGGGUAUCUCGAGUAUGGAAGAGGUGAGUGGAAUUCCGAGUGUAGAGGUGAAAUUCGUAGAUAUUCGGAGGAACACCAGUGGCGAAGGCGGCUCACUGGUCCAUUACUGACGCUGAGGUGCGAAAGCGUGGGGAGCAAACAGG
This 253-nucleotide ribosomal RNA is filed under the name uncultured bacterium. RNAcentral describes it as "partial 16S ribosomal RNA". It matches the Rfam family "Bacterial small subunit ribosomal RNA", at positions 524 to 776 of the family's 1533-position model. The record is from RNAcentral.